CGUGUAGGCGGUCAGGUAAGUAAGACGUGAAAUGCCUCGGCUCACCCGAGGAGCGGCGUCUUAUACUGCUUGGCUUGAGUAUGGGAGAGGAUGUGGGAAUUCCUGGUGUAGCGGUGAAAUGCGUAGAUAUCAGGAGGAACACCGGUGGCGAAGGCGCACAUCUGGCCCAAUACUGACGCUGAGGCGCGAAAGCUAGGGGAGCAAACG
Molecule: ribosomal RNA, 207 nt
Filed under: uncultured bacterium
Lineage: Bacteria
Description: partial 16S ribosomal RNA
Rfam family: Bacterial small subunit ribosomal RNA
Source: RNAcentral